CAUUCUUUGAGUCCAUUAAUUUAUUAUCGAUGAUUUAACACUGAAGUGUUAAAUAAGGCUUGUUGAUUAUUAAAUUGAGCCCAUGAGGCUAUUUAAUUUGAGGCCUGUAUGCAGAGGAUCUCUAUAUACGUGUUUUAAGAAAGCCCACCUUAUUCGUUCCCACAACGGGCGUAGAGUUACUUCCCUCUUUAGCUAUCACUUCCUGCCUGGACCUUUAUUGACGAAGAAUCGAUAAGUUCGAUAAGAAGUCGUGAAAGAAAGGAAAAUUGAUCUCUAAACUAAGCUAUCUCAUUUUUAAUGAUUUUAGGGUUCUAGCAUCCAUAUUAAUCUUGUCUCCUUCAAAACCUUAACUCAAAACAGUUAUCACAUAACUAACAUUUAGGUUCGAAACUAUUUAUUCGAACAUCAUCAUGCACAUCAAUCAUAACUCGUUCUACUCACGCCAUCAAGUCAAACAUUCCGUCAUUUAACUACAAAACAUAAAACAUAUCACAUAGACAAAUUAUAUCAUCAUAAAUCAUGCUUUCUCAUACUUAAAACAAUUUAAUCCCUUUUUUAUAAACCAUAUUAAUAAGACAUUUGAAAAGAAUUCUUUAAAUAAGAGUUUAACUCAAAAUAUUUUAUUUUAAAAGUUCAUUUAUAAAUAAUCAAAUAAAAGACUCCAUUUAAAUAAUAAAUUUAAAGGUUCAUAUGUAAUUAAAUUAAUCAAGCUCAAUUUAAGUUAUUAAAUAAAAGCUCAAAUAAUUUAAAUGGAUAUAAGCCCAAGUUAAUUAAAUAAAUUAAGUCCAUCCUAUUUUUCUUUAAAUAAGGCCCAAACAUUUUAUUUUAAAACAGUCAAUCAAUUUAAAAUAAAGGCCCAUCAGUUAAUUAAAUUAAAAGGAGGCCAAAGCCCAUUCUCAUGCUAAUCCUAACAUAAACACACACUAAAACACAUUUAAACACACACACUCAGCCACAACUUCACACACCCACACACACUCCACAGACGCACCCUCUCAUCUCUCUCUCUCUCUCUCGGACGGUCUGUCCGCCGCCGCCGGCGAGCGGCGCGGCUCUCCCUUCUUCGGCAUCUCUCCUCUCCCUGACCCCAGAUCCUCUUUCUAGACUGCCGAGACAAGGCGGCAGACGCAACCACCGCGGUGCGCCGCCGCUGCCCCUGUUCUCCCUCUCCCUCUCUCGGCCUCCGGCGAAGCAACCACCGCGGUGCCGCCGCCGUGAAGCAGGUAAACCCUAACUCCCUCUCUACUUUCCUCAUCUUCUUCCCCUUUCAAAUUAAAACUGAAAACUCCUCUCUCUCUCUUCCGAUUUGGCUGAAUCGGAGCAACGGCGACGUCACGGCUGUCACGUUACCGCCGCCGCCGACGACGACGAGCCACCAUGGCUCCGCCGCCGACCGCCGUCGAAAACAGGUAACCCUAAUUUCCCUUCUCUCCUUUCCAUUUUCUCCUACCACCUUCUUCAUUUUAAUUAAAAGCUGAAAACCCUCUCCUCUUUCCCCUUGUUGGCAGAUCGGAGACAACGGCAGUUUCGCCGCCGCCGCUCCGACGCCGGCGACGUGCCUCCGCGGCAGCCGCCUCCCUGAACCCUUCUCACACACGAAUCAGGGGAUUCAGCCCCGAUUUCAGUCAACACAUAGAAAUAGGCUUUUUACUGAAUUCAUUUUCAAAUAUUGUAAAUGUUCUUCAAUCGAGCAUACUGCACUUAAACAUUCAUUCUUGUAAUUGCAACCCUUCAUUUGUAUAUGUAAAUUCUGUUUAUAAACAGGCUGCAUAUGCACAUAAAAUGGAAUAUGAGAAAUUCGUAUGUGUUGGUGGUUCUCUGCUAGAAUUUCUAAGAUUAAAACAAGAAUUGGAUUGGUUCUGUAUAAGCAUUUUGUAUAGAUGUUAUGAUGAAUUCUAGUAAAUCAUAGACAGUGAUGACUGAAAUUCUUUACCUUAUCUUGGCUGCGAGAGACCUUAGCUUGGCUGCGAGAGAGGUGGUUGAUGAAUGUGAGAAGUGAAAGUGAUGUAGGUUAUAAAGGAAGAAUAGGG
Molecule: long non-coding RNA, 2030 nt
Filed under: Salvia miltiorrhiza (redroot sage)
Lineage: Eukaryota; Viridiplantae; Streptophyta; Magnoliopsida; Lamiales; Lamiaceae
Description: long non-coding RNA (SMIL_LNC006674)
Source: RNAcentral